Vidua chalybeata is the source of this 293-nucleotide long non-coding RNA. RefSeq lists it as uncharacterized. The transcript is spliced from 3 exons. NCBI's taxonomy places the organism in Eukaryota, Metazoa, Chordata, Aves, Passeriformes, Viduidae. The record is from RefSeq and is a predicted model, not a curated record.
CUCAUCAUGUCCUAAGAACAGGUGCACUGCAAAAAUGUGCCCAUCUGAACACAUAUUGAAGAGCUGGUGUGAUUUUGGUACCCCUGAGAGGAAAUAAAAAGGUGGAGGCUUUGAAGAUGUUGGUACCAUCACACAUGAGGUCUGUCUAAAAAUACUGCACAGAUCACCUCUAGAAAACAGAAGGAAGUCAGAUCUGAUCCCUCUCCAGAGAUUUAGUCAUUCUCCAACACACAACAGCAAGAGAUGAGGAGAUGAUAAUAAAAUGUAUAGUACUUUUCAUAUUCAAAUAAAUA